Molecule: long non-coding RNA, 2438 nt
Organism: Clupea harengus (Atlantic herring)
Lineage: Eukaryota; Metazoa; Chordata; Actinopteri; Clupeiformes; Clupeidae
Source: Ensembl
AAGAGGAGUCAGACGCUGGGGACAAAGACAAAGACGCAGAAAUGAAGGACGAAGACAAAAAGGCCAAAGACAAAGACGCCAAAGACAAGAGCUCAGAAGAGGAAUCAGACGCUGAGGACAAAGACAAAAAGGCCAAAGACAAAGACGCCAAAGACAAGAGCUCAGAAGAGGAGUCAGACGCUGAGGACAAAGACAAAAAAGCCAAAGACAAAGACGCCGAAGACAAGAGCUCAGAAGAGGAGUCAGACGCUGAGGACAAAGACAAAAAGGCCAAAGACAAAGACGCCGAAGACAAGAGCUCAGAAGAGGAGUCAGACGCUGAGGACAAAGACAAAAAGGCCAAAGACAAAGAUGCCAAAGACAAGAGCUCCGGCAGCCAGGAGGCAGGGGCCUCCACCAAAGAAGAUGGAGAUUCCAUCAGUGACGAAGACGACAUUAACAGCAGCCAGGAGAUGCACGACAGCGCCAGCCAAGACUCAGAGUACGCCACCAAGGAGGAGAGUGAGGAGGAGAAGAGCGCUGAGUCAUCGGACGACAAAGUGAGCAAGAACGCCAGCAAGAAAGACAAAGACAGCAUGGAGGACAAAUCAGAAGAUGUCCCUGCUGUCCCUGCUAACACCAGUCAGAGUUCCUAGCAUUCUGGCUUGUACCAGUAGGUUAUGGUGGAGUCUAUACACAGAAUCAUCAUGAAAAGACACAAAGGAAAUCUACUGAUGCAGUCACAAUAACAAAAAAAGCAUUUUCGGGGCUGGACAAACUUUUUCUUAUUUCCUCUACCUUUUCACUUCCCCCACUUCCUCCAAAAACAAGUAGUUUUCUUUAUAGGGUGAGGAGCUAUGAUUUUAAUUAUUCAACGUUUUGUUCACAGAAUUCACAACUUAUACACUGAAUAUGAUGACUAUUGGGACGAUGGUUUUAGAAGCCCCCAUGUCCGAUGUUUAUACGGCUCAUAGCCUUAAAAUCCUUGACAUUGUAAACACACAACUGCUACUUUUACUGAAAAGAACAUUGGGCCUCAUUCUCGACAGUAGAGAAGAAUUUAAGAAGGAAUUUCUUCUGAACUGGAUUUAGGGAUUUCUUCUGAACUUCAGAAGACUUUCCGAAUGCGAAAUAGCAGUCGUAAAUCGGCCAGAGUUUUCUCAAAUGCGAUUCGUUUUUUUGAGGAAUCGCAUUUAAGAAAACUCUCCGUGUUAGAAGUGUUAAUGAAUGUGAGAAAUCGUUGGUGAUUGCGUUCACAUCAACUCUACAGACAUCCUCGGAUUAAAAUAAUUAUAAUAAUAAUAAAUACGAGAAUAUUUGUAUCAUUAACAAUUAUGUUUCACAUUUAUAGUCAUGAUUCUACGAGGCAUUGUGAUGUCCUAAAAUAAAUAAAAGGUCUACACGAACACUGCAAAUGUAAGUAAAUAAAUAAAUAAGCACUAAACUCAAUCGCGUUGAUAUAGCUAUAGCGGAAUAGAAUGGACACAUCUACAUCCUGCAACAGUACCUCCACCUCUGCACCGGUGAAGUUAGAUCUGCGUUUACUGUAAGUGCUCGCUUUCCGCUUUGACAUGACUCGUUUACGAGUUGCUUUCGUGAAGAUUCGGUCGAUUCCAACUGCACGCGUCACUACGGUUGCGUGCCCUUAUAAGGAGCUGGCGGGGCGUGUAUGUAUGCAAAUCCAGGUGCACGAGAACGCGCUUUCAAUUUAAGAAAACUCUUCCGGGGGAGCACAGCUCAUGAAUCCGGCGGAGGUCUUUUUCGUACGUUGUUUUUCCGAAGUCCGUAAGAAACAUUUCAGAAGAAACUUCAGAAAAUUUUCGAGAAUGAGGCCCAUUGGUUUGAUAUCUGUGCAAUUCUGCUUGAUUUUCUCUGUCUAAAAAAAUACAGUGCUCAAAUGUCGUAGGGCUGUGAUGCAUCUGCAUGUUGUGAGACUUUCUCUGCAUUCUAGUUCUGCUUUUCCACGUUGCUACAACACUUUCUUCAGAUAACUGCUGUAACAAAACAAUAUCCACAAAAAAAGGAGUGUACAGACAUUUUAUGAGGCAAUUUCGUUAUGCACGUCUCUACCUUUUGAGGAUUUAUGACUAAUAUUGUAGUGUAUGUAUAAGAGCAUUGUCGAUGAAUUAUUGUAAUUACAAGAGAUGUAUAGAUAUAUCAGUAAUGUCAUUUUAAUAUGUACACAGGGAGCAAAUUGAAUAAAGCCUGAGUGGUCAGAAAAAAAAAUUCAGGGCUCACAUUUCCUUUGGUAAGAGGGGGAGUGGAGAAGUUCAGUGUGUGGCCCUGUGUGACCUGCCCAUGUUUGUGAGUGUGUCUUUGGGGGGCAAAGAACUGUGGCCCCUUUGUGGACUUCCUGUCGCCCUGAACUCAAUUCUGCUCAAUAUAAAUGUUAGCUCUUUAUAAAAAGCAUUCAAUUGUAUGGUUUUGAUUAUCUGCUACUGGUAUGAAAAUGUGGUGCA